Molecule: ribosomal RNA, 400 nt
Filed under: Tegenaria faniapollinis
Lineage: Eukaryota; Metazoa; Arthropoda; Arachnida; Araneae; Agelenidae
Description: partial 16S ribosomal RNA
Rfam family: Bacterial large subunit ribosomal RNA
Source: RNAcentral
CUCAAUGAAUCAUUAAAUAGCCGCAUUCAUUUUGUGCUAAGGUAGCAUAAUCAUUUGUCUUUUAAUUUAAGACUAGAACGAAAGAUUUAACAUUUCAAUUUCUAUCUCAAGCAUAAUAAUUUAAAAUUUUCCUAAAUAUAAAAAGAUAUUUAUAUCUUAAAAAGACGAUAAGACCCUAUUGAACUUAACUUCAGUUUAACUGGGGCAGUUAAUCAAAUAUAAUUUUAAUUUUUAUAACUACAAAAUAGACCUUACACAAUAAACUACUUGAUCAAGUUACCAUAGGGAUAACAGCGCAAUAAUUUUUUCAAGAUCUUAUUUCUAAAAUAGCUUGCGACCUCGAUGUUGAAUUAAUAUCCUAUUAAAUGCAAAAAUUUAAAAAUGGAAGUCUGUUCGACUU